This 377-nucleotide unclassified non-coding RNA is filed under the name plant metagenome. RNAcentral describes it as "partial contains 5.8S ribosomal RNA, internal transcribed spacer 2, and large subunit ribosomal RNA". The stretch from base 1 to 105 matches the Rfam family "5.8S ribosomal RNA", at positions 50 to 154 of the family's 154-position model. The record is from RNAcentral.
GAAAUGCGAUAAGUAAUGUGAAUUGCAGAAUUCAGUGAAUCAUCGAAUCUUUGAACGCACCUUGCGCUCCUUGGUAUUCCUUGGAGCAUGCCUGUUUGAGUAUCAUGAAAUCUUCAAAGUAAAUCUUUUGUUAACUCAAUUGGUUUCUACUUUGGUAUUGGAGGUCUUUGCAGCUUCACACCUGCUCCUCUUUGUUCAUUAGCUGGAUCUCAGUGUUAUGCUUGGUUCCACUCGGCGUGAUAAGUUAUCUAUCGCUGAGGACACUGUAAAAGGUGGCCAAGGUAAAUGCAGAUGAACCGCUUCUAAUAGUCCAUUGACUUGGACAAUACUUUUAUGAUCUGAUCUCAAAUCAGGUGGACUACCCGCUGAACUUAAGC